GGGCCUGUAGCUCAGAGGAUUAGAGCACGUCGCUAUGAACCACGAUGUCGGGGGUUCGAAUCCCUCCUCGCCCA
Molecule: non-coding RNA, 74 nt
Organism: Gossypium hirsutum (cotton)
Lineage: Eukaryota; Viridiplantae; Streptophyta; Magnoliopsida; Malvales; Malvaceae
Source: Rfam